This 254-nucleotide ribosomal RNA is filed under the name uncultured bacterium. Its description in RNAcentral is "partial 16S ribosomal RNA". It matches the Rfam family "Bacterial small subunit ribosomal RNA", at positions 524 to 776 of the family's 1533-position model. The record is from RNAcentral.
UACGUAGGGGGCUAGCGUUGUCCGGAAUCAUUGGGCGUAAAGCGCGUGUAGGCGGUCCGGUAAGUCCGCUGUGAAAGUCGGGGGCUCAACCCUCGAAUGCCGGUGGAUACUGUCGGGCUAGAGUGCGGAAGAGGCGAGUGGAAUUCCUGGUGUAGCGGUGAAAUGCGCAGAUAUCAGGAGGAACACCAAUUGCGAAGGCAGCUCGCUGGGACGUUACUGACGCUGGAGACGCGAAAGCGUGGGGAGCAAACAGG